Molecule: ribosomal RNA, 440 nt
Filed under: uncultured bacterium
Lineage: Bacteria
Description: partial 16S ribosomal RNA
Rfam family: Bacterial small subunit ribosomal RNA
Source: RNAcentral
CCUACGGGAGGCAGCAGUAGGGAAUAUUGCUCAAUGGGGGAAACCCUGAAGCAGCCAAGCCGCGUGGAGGAUGAAGGUUUUCGGAUUGUAAAAUCCUUUUGUUAGAGAAGAUAAUGACGGUAUCUAACGAAUAAGCACCGGCUAACUCCGGUCCAGCAGGCGCGGUAAUACGGAGGGUGCCAGCGUUACUCGGAAUCACUGGGCGUAAAGGGCGCGUAGGCGGGAUAGCAAGUCAGAUGUGAAAUCCUAUGGCUUAACCAUAGAACUGCAUUUGAAACUGUUAUUCUAGAGUAUGGGAGAGGUAGGUGGAAUUCUUGGUGUAGGGGUAAAAUCCGUAGAGAUCAAGAGGAAUACUCAUUGCGAAGGCGACCUGCUAGAACAUAACUGACGCUGAUGCGCGAAAGCGUGGGGAGCAAACAGGAUUAGAUACCCGAGUAGUC